Molecule: non-coding RNA, 502 nt
Organism: Arachis ipaensis
Lineage: Eukaryota; Viridiplantae; Streptophyta; Magnoliopsida; Fabales; Fabaceae
Source: RefSeq, a predicted model, not a curated record
AGGUGCUCCAAUUGAAUAUCUAUAGUUUCUGUUUCAUGAUUUGUUGGUUUGUUUGUGAAUAUUUGAAAUUUGGAAUGCUCUGACUGAGUUGAUAUUGUUGCUGAUUUUGAACCUAAACUUUGGCUUUUGUUGUUGCAUUUUCAUUUGAAUUUCUGGAUAUAUUAUAAUCAGUUCAUAUAUACAAAAUCCACCAAUAUCAUGGUUUUGCAGAUUGACGAAGAGCUUCUUCAGGAAGUGGUUAAUAUGGGAUUUGACAGAAAUCAAUUGGUUGAAUCUUUAUGCAACAGGACCCAAAAUGAGAUGGGGCUGGUGAUGAUUUGUUUAAAGAGCUAUGGAGGCUGUGUGCAGGGCCAUUAAUGGAUGUUCCUUGUGUUCAAGACAGAGUUUUCUAUUUCCCUCAGGGUCACAUUGAAUUGUUGCCAGAACCUACAGAACAAGAUUUGAGGCAGAUGAAGAACCAGAAAUCUCCCAAAUACGAUCUUCCGUCGAACAAGAUAUUUAA